UGAUGAAGGCCUUCGGGUUGUAAAACUCUUUCGACGGGGACGAUAAUGACGGUACCCGUAGAAGAAGCCCCGGCUAACUUCGUGCCAGCAGCCGCGGUAAUACGAAGGGGGCUAGCGUUGUUCGGAAUUACUGGGCGUAAAGCGCACGUAGGCGGAUAUUUAAGUCAGGGGUGAAAUCCCGCAGCUCAACUGCGGAACUGCCUUUGAUACUGGGUAUCUUGAGUAUGGAAGAGGUUAGUGGAAUUGCGAGUGUAGAGGUGAAAUUCGUAGAUAUUCGCAGGAACACCAGUGGCGAAGGCGGCUAACUGGUCCAUAACUGACGCUGAGAUGCGAAAGCGUGGGGAGCAAACAGGAUUAGAUACCCUGGUAGUCCACGCCGUAAACGAUGAUAACUAGCUGUCCGGGCACUUGGUGCUUGGGUGGCGCAGCUAACGCAUUAAGUUAUCCGCCUGGGGAGUACGGUCGCAAGAUUAAAACUCAAAUGAAUUGACGGA
RNAcentral lists this ribosomal RNA (494 nucleotides) under uncultured bacterium. RNAcentral's name for it is "bacterial SSU rRNA". It matches the Rfam family "Bacterial small subunit ribosomal RNA", at positions 406 to 917 of the family's 1533-position model. The record is from RNAcentral.